UACGGAGGGGACUAGCGUUGUUCGGAAUUACUGGGCGUAAAGCGCGCGUAGGCGGAUUUGCAAGUCGGGGGUGAAAGCCCGAGGCUCAACCUCGGAACUGCCCUCGAUACUGCAAAUCUCGAGUCCGAGAGAGGUGAGUGGAAUUCCUAGUGUAGAGGUGAAAUUCGUAGAUAUUAGGAAGAACACCAGUGGCGAAGGCGGCUCUCUGGACCAGCACUGACACUGAGGCACGAAAGCGUGGGGAGCAAACAGG
This 253-nucleotide ribosomal RNA is filed under the name uncultured bacterium. RNAcentral describes it as "partial 16S ribosomal RNA". It matches the Rfam family "Bacterial small subunit ribosomal RNA", at positions 524 to 776 of the family's 1533-position model. The record is from RNAcentral.